UGGGGAAUAUUGCACAAUGGAGGAAACUCUGAUGCAGCGACGCCGCGUGAGGGAAGAAGGUUUUCGGAUUGUAAACCUCUGUCUUCGGGGACGAUAAUGACGGUACCCGAGGAGGAAGCCACGGCUAACUACGUGCCAGCAGCCGCGGUAAUACGUAGGUGGCAAGCGUUGUCCGGAAUUACUGGGUGUAAAGGGAGUGUAGGCGGGACGGUAAGUUAGGUGUGAAAACUAUGGGCUCAACCCAUAGAUUGCACUUAAAACUGCUGUUCUUGAGUGAAGUAGAGGCAAGCAGAAUUCCUAGUGUAGCGGUGAAAUGCGUAGAUAUUAGGAGGAAUACCAGUGGCGAAGGCGGCUUGCUGGGCUUUUACUGACGCUGAGGCUCGAAAGCGUGGGUAGCAAACAGG
Molecule: ribosomal RNA, 404 nt
Filed under: uncultured prokaryote
Also listed under: 1 other name
Description: bacterial SSU rRNA
Rfam family: Bacterial small subunit ribosomal RNA
Source: RNAcentral